AUUGAACGCUGGCGGCGUGCUUAACACAUGCAAGUCGUGCGGUAACAGGCGUAGCAAUACGUGCUGACGAGCGGCGAACGGGUGCGUAAUACAUGGGAAUCUGCCCUUUAGUGGGGAAUAACCCGGCGAAAGCCGGGCUAAUGCCGCAUAAGAUCUUCGGAUGAAAGCGGGGGAUCGUAAGACCUCGCGCUGAUGGAUGAGCCCAUGUCGGAUUAGCUAGUGGUGAGGUAACGGCUCACCAAGGCGACGAUCCGUAGCUGGUCUGAGAGGACGGCCAGCCACACUGGGACUGAGACACGGCCCAGACUCCUACGGGAGGCAGCAGUGGGGAAUAUUGGACAAUGGGCGAAAGCCUGAUCCAGCGACGCCGCGUGUGUGAAGAAGGCCUGCGGGUUGUAAAGCACUUUCGAUGGGAACGAAUGUGCCGGGCUAAUAUCCGGCAAGCUGACGUUACUCAAUGAAGAAGCACCGGCU
RNAcentral lists this ribosomal RNA (474 nucleotides) under uncultured bacterium. Its description in RNAcentral is "bacterial SSU rRNA". It matches the Rfam family "Bacterial small subunit ribosomal RNA", at positions 30 to 498 of the family's 1533-position model. The record is from RNAcentral.